AGAGUUUGAUCCUGGCUCAGAUUGAACGCUGGCGGCAUGCUUUACACAUGCAAGUCGAACGGCAGCACGGGGGCAACCCUGGUGGCGAGUGGCGAACGGGUGAGUAAUGCAUCGGAACGUAUCCUUGAGUGGGGGAUAACGCAGCGAAAGUUGUGCUAAUACCGCAUAAGCUCUGAGGAGGAAAGCGGGGGACCGAAAGGCCUCGCGCUGAAGGAGCGGCCGAUGUCCGAUUAGCUAGUUGGUGGAGGUAAGGCUACAGGCGACGAUCGGUAGCGUGGUCUGAGGAGGAUGAUCACGCCACACGUGGGACUGAGACGACCGGCCCAGACCUCCGUACGGGAGGCGAC
This 347-nucleotide ribosomal RNA is filed under the name uncultured prokaryote. RNAcentral describes it as "bacterial SSU rRNA". It matches the Rfam family "Bacterial small subunit ribosomal RNA", at positions 8 to 352 of the family's 1533-position model. The record is from RNAcentral.